This 483-nucleotide ribosomal RNA is filed under the name uncultured bacterium. RNAcentral describes it as "partial 16S ribosomal RNA". It matches the Rfam family "Bacterial small subunit ribosomal RNA", at positions 28 to 507 of the family's 1533-position model. The record is from RNAcentral.
GACGAACGCUGGCGGCGUGCUUAACACAUGCCAGUCGAACGAUGAAGCGGGUGCUUGCACUCGUGGAUUAGUGGCGAACGGGCGAGUAACACGUGAGUAACCUGUCCUUUUCUUUGGGAUAACGGCUGGAAACGGCUGCUAAUACUGGAUAUUCAGGCUGCAUCGCAUGGUGUGGUUUGGAAAGGUUUUUUCUGGGAUUGGGUGGGCUCGCGGCCUAUCAGCUUGUUGGUGGGGUGAUGGCUUACCAAGGCUUUGACGGGUAGCCGGCCUGAGAGGGUGGUCGGUCGCACUGGGACUGAGAUACGGCCCAGACUCCUACGGGAGGCAGCAGUGGGGAAUAUUGCACAAUGGACGAAAGUUUGAUGCAGCGACGCCGCGUGGAGGGUGUAGGCCUUCGGGUUGUGAACUCCUUUGUCUCGCGAAAAAGGCACAGUUUUGGCUGUGUUGAUGGUAGUGGGGGAAGAAGCGCCGGCUAACUACGUG